UGUGGUGAUGAUGGCCUGAAGGAUACACCUGUUCCCAUGCCGAACACAGAAGUUAAGCUUCAGCACGCCCUGCGAGGAUAGGACGUUGCCACGC
Molecule: ribosomal RNA, 94 nt
Filed under: Bifidobacterium longum
Lineage: Bacteria; Bacillati; Actinomycetota; Actinomycetes; Bifidobacteriales; Bifidobacteriaceae
Source: RNAcentral